UUGAACGCUGGCGGCAUGCCUUACACAUGCAAGUCGAACGGUAACGGGCCUUCGGGUGCCGACGAGUGGCGAACGGGUGAGUAAUACAUCGGAACGUGCCCGAUCGUGGGGGAUAACGAGGCGAAAGCUUUGCUAAUACCGCAUACGAUCUACGGAUGAAAGCAGGGGACCGCAAGGCCUUGCGCGGACGGAGCGGCCGAUGGCAGAUUAGGUACUUGGUGGGAUAAAAGCUUACCAAGCCGACGAUCUGUAGCUGGUCUGAGAGGAUGAUCAGCCACACUGGGACUGAGACACGGCCCAGACUCCUACGGGAGGCAGCAGUGGGGAAUUUUGGACAAUGGGCGCAAGCCUGAUCCAGCCAUGCCGCGUGCAGGAUGAAGGCCUUCGGGUUGUAAACUGCUUUUGUACGGAACGAAAAGCCUUCUUUUAAUACAGGAGGGUCAUGACGGUACCGUAAGAAUAAGCACCGGCUAACUACGUG
RNAcentral lists this ribosomal RNA (481 nucleotides) under uncultured bacterium. RNAcentral's name for it is "partial 16S ribosomal RNA". It matches the Rfam family "Bacterial small subunit ribosomal RNA", at positions 30 to 507 of the family's 1533-position model. The record is from RNAcentral.